RNAcentral lists this ribosomal RNA (471 nucleotides) under uncultured bacterium. RNAcentral describes it as "bacterial SSU rRNA". It matches the Rfam family "Bacterial small subunit ribosomal RNA", at positions 28 to 507 of the family's 1533-position model. The record is from RNAcentral.
GACGAACGCUGGCGGCGUGCCUAACACAUGCAAGUCGAACGGGGUCCAUGGGAGCUUGCUCCCGGAAGACCUAGUGGCGAACGGGUGAGUAACACGUGGGCAACCUGCCCCAGACACCGGGAUAACCAUCCGAAAGGAUGGCUAAUACCGGAUAUGACCACUUUGGGCAUCCAACGGUGGUGGAAAGGAUUCUGGUCUGGGAUGGGCCCGCGGCCUAUCAGCUAGUUGGUGGGGUAAUGGCCUACCAAGGCGACGACGGGUAGCCGGCCUGAGAGGGCGACCGGCCACACUGGGACUGAGACACGGCCCAGACUCCUACGGGAGGCAGCAGUGGGGAAUAUUGCGCAAUGGGCGAAAGCCUGACGCAGCGACGCCGCGUGAGGGACGAAGGUCUUCGGAUUGUAAACCUCUUUCAGCAGGGACGAAGCGAAAGUGACUGUACCUGCAGAAGAAGCACCGGCUAACUACGUG